AUGCGGCGGGAAGAAGUGGCAUUUAGAAGUGUUACUGACUUUACAUUUAGGUUUCGACAUAACAAAACUUGCACUGUCUUUUCACACUUAGGCACACAGCGUGGCGUUGGUAAUGAUUCUACUACGGUGCUGCAAAUUCGCAAGCUGAUCCUAAGUAAUCGUUGUUGUUCAUUGGAUUCCUCCGGAAUUACUUCGUUACGAUUGAAGAAUUGCAACAAUUCUUCCUGA
RNAcentral lists this ribosomal RNA (228 nucleotides) under Triticum aestivum (bread wheat). RNAcentral describes it as "partial small subunit ribosomal RNA". The record is from RNAcentral. Lineage: Eukaryota; Viridiplantae; Streptophyta; Magnoliopsida; Poales; Poaceae.